GGGGUCGUAGCUCAGUUGGUAGAGCGCGUCGUUCGCAACGACGAGGUCAGGGGUUCGACUCCCCUCGGCUCCA
This 73-nucleotide transfer RNA is filed under the name Gemmataceae bacterium. RNAcentral's name for it is "tRNA-Ala". It matches the Rfam family "tRNA". From Rfam's summary of the family: Transfer RNA (tRNA) molecules are approximately 80 nucleotides in length. The record is from RNAcentral. RNAcentral also lists the same sequence under 3 other names. Lineage: Bacteria; Pseudomonadati; Planctomycetota; Planctomycetia; Gemmatales; Gemmataceae.